UGCAGUCGAGCGGCAGCGCGGGGCAACCUGGCGGCGAGCGGCGAACGGGUGAGUAACAUAUCGGAACGUACCUAUUUGAGGGGGAUAACGCAGCGAAAGUUGUGCUAAUACCGCAUAAGACCUGAGGGUGAAAGUGGGGGACCGCAAGGCCUCACGCGAAUAGAGCGGCCGAUAUCUGAUUAGCUAGUUGGUAGGGUAAAGGCCUACCAAGGCGACGAUCAGUAGCUGGUCUGAGAGGACGACCAGCCACACUGGGACUGAGACACGGCCCAGACUCCUACGGGAGGCAGCAGUGGGGAAUUUUGGACAAUGGGGGCAACCCUGAUCCAGCCAUUCCGCGUGAGUGAAGAAGGCCUUCGGGUUGUAAAGCUCUUUCGGCAGGAACGAAAAGGUUAGGGUGAAUAAUCCUGAUUGAUGACGGUACCUGAAGAAGAAGCACCGGCUAACUACGUGCCAGCAGCCGCGGUAAUACGUAGGGUGCGAGCGUUAAUCGGAAUUACUGGGCGUAAAGGGUGCGCAGGUGGUUAUUUAAGACAGAUGUGAAAUCCCCGGGCUCAACCUGGGAACUGCGUUUGUGACUGGAUAGCUAGAGUGCGGCAGAGGGGGGUAGAAUUCCACGUGUAGCAGUGAAAUGCGUAGAGAUGUGGAGGAAUACCGAUGGCGAAGCAGCCCCCUGGGUCAGCACUG
Molecule: ribosomal RNA, 687 nt
Filed under: uncultured bacterium
Lineage: Bacteria
Description: bacterial SSU rRNA
Rfam family: Bacterial small subunit ribosomal RNA
Source: RNAcentral